Long non-coding RNA from Suricata suricatta (meerkat), 1671 nucleotides. RefSeq lists it as uncharacterized. The transcript has 2 exons. The record is from RefSeq and is a predicted model, not a curated record. NCBI's taxonomy places the organism in Eukaryota, Metazoa, Chordata, Mammalia, Carnivora, Herpestidae.
CGAGCUGAAGUCAGAUGCUUAACCGACCAAGCCACCCAGACACCUGAUGGUUUUACUCUGAUGUGACUCAUGGAAGGCACCCUACCGCGAACUCGGGCCCACAGGCACUGCGGCCAGGCUCGAAGGUGCUGGACCUGGGCUGCCUGUUUUAAAACCGAGGAGGGCUCUGUCUGACUUCGGGCCUGGUGCAAAGGCUGAGGACCUCAACCUCUAGUGGACCAAGAAAAGAGGUCACCUGCCUCCCAAGAUGUGGGGUAAGAGAGCUGCUUUUCAUUCCUCGCUCCCUGACAGAGGUCUUCGUGAUUCUUUUGUGCGCCAUUUCCCUGGCCUGAAAAGGUAAUGCCGUUGUCUGCACAGCUCAGGCCACUGCAGAGGGAAAGGGGACCUAACCUCCGAGAGACUGUGGCUCUCCCGCUGUGCGUGGAAGGCCGUCCCUCUGCCCCUCCCAAUGCUUCAGUUUCUCUCUCGUGUCACCAUCCCUGGUUAAGAAUCCCGGACCCAGGCAACUUUGCAGCCAGGCUCUAGCCAAAGGACGGGACCCAAGGGCAGGGUCACUAACUGAAACCACCCGUGGGGUCUCCUGGCCUCCAGGGUGCUGCUCUGUGGCGGCCCAAGCCUUACACUUAAACAGGAAUGACUGUGAAGGAUUCAGGCUUCAAAGUUGCUUCCCGCGACAGACCCAACCCCCUGGACAGGAGUCAGUGCAAGUGAGGCCGCAGGUAGCAACCGCUCCCGCCCCCCUCCCGGUGCGGCCGCCGCUCCGCCCUCUCUGCCCAAGUUCUCGAUGGUAAGACAGCCCCUGAUUCGCGUUCACGGAGCCAGGCGAUGGGGGCGCGGCCGCCACCACGGGCUACACUUGGACAGACCUUUCUGGGGGAGGGACACUCAGCGACACAAGAUCACUAGACAAGCCAGCUGGCUUAGGAAAGGGACCCCUUCAGUGGGGUCUUUCCUUUGGGGGCCGUGGCAUCUGGGUGGCUCAGGUCGUCGUGUCACAGUUUGUGAGUUUGCACCUCUGCGUCAGGCUCUGUGCUGACAGCUCGGAGCCUGCUUCGGGUUCUGUGUCUCCCCGUCUCUCAAAAAUACACAUUAAACACCCUGCACUCUAGCCAGUGGGCACGAUCCGCUAUAAUGGCCAUCGCCCCGCUGCUUUGUUCUCUCAAAAAGCUUUCAGUACGUGUUCGCAGCUUUGAACCACCCAGCAAAUGAUGUCCUGAAGAACAGAGCUUCAGAAAAGGACCAAGAAGGACCAAUGGAAAGAACGAACGUGAUGUCAUAACCUGUGAGCACCACACACACACAAUCACCACACGACCACAAGAACGCCGGAGCCGCCGCUGCCUUACGUGUGAUCCCAUCUCUCAGGCUGCGUCGGAUCAAGGGAGGGAAGUGGUGAAAACAAGAACACUGGCCCCAAAUGGAGUCACUUGUGCUAAGCCCCACGUCACCAAACCUUAGUUUCAGCUCUCCCAGAAGUGGAGUGUGAAACCAGUCACUCAGGGCAUCUGUCAGACCCCUGCCAUCCCCCUAACGCUGAGUGACUUUUUGGUCUCGUGUAGCCUCCCUCUCACUAUUCAAGUCUCAUUUCCUAUAGCUCCUCUGAGCUCCUUUCUUCUGCUAAAUAAGACACUGCUUCAUUCAUAAGUGGUGAAUAAAGCCAAUAAACUUUCA